UGCUAGGCUACUGCUCUAGGUCAUGUAUCUCGGCAGUGAACAGGGCGGAGCCAGAGCGGUGUCCGGGUGGACACCUCUGACAUCUGAUUGGACACCCCGGGUGUCACCCCAAAAUGUCAUUCGCUACUGGCAGUUUGAUGCUGAUUGACAUCUCAUUUCACCUCUUGUUGAGGUGAAUUUAUUUUGACGUUUUCAAACCGAGGACGAGGAAGAGAGAAUAUUAACGUUGGCUGUGAGAUACAGAAGAAUAAGAAGAACAUACAGAAGAAGAAGAGAGAAUAUUUCCACAGCUCCACGAACUCUUUUACCGAUUGGCGUAAGCAUCAUAUUUGAAAUGUAUCAAGGGACGACACAGAGACAUCUGGCUCUGAGCAAGACAGUGAGCCAGAGCUGCUGGGAGAUGUCAUCGAGCCCCUCCCAACUUCAUCAAGCACCAGAUAUGCUGUUCCAAAAGGACCCGGUGACAUUUCAAGAUCCAGAGAAGAGGGUCCUGUACAGCCGUGUUUGAAAACAUUUCCCAGAACUCAGCAUGGUACGAGGAAAAGGGCUUUCAACAGCUCCUGGUAUAAGGACAAUUCAUGGCUUGAAUAUUCUAUAAGUCAAGAUUCAACUUAUUGUUUUGCCUGUGUUGGAGAAUUUCCAGUACUUUGAAGUUUAUCCAGUAUCUACUGUAUGCUGUUUUCUUCGAAGUAGUAAGCAAAAUCAAUAUAGGGUUAACCAUUAGACAUAUGGAAGCAUAAUGUAAACAGAAUCCAUGUGAUUCUGCAAAGCUGGAUCAACACAGGCCUGGUCAUUCUGGCUUGGACUUGUGAAGGCCUUUGGACAGGCACAUUAGUUAAUCACUUAUAGUCACCAUUAGACAUGCACUUGCAUUAGGGGUGUGCAUGUCUGUUUAUGUUUGUGUCAUUGCAAUGGGCACGCCACCAAUAGAAUCUAUGCCCUAAUGUCUGAGACAGUAAGAGAAUGGAAACUAAACAAGGCAAAAAGAUAAGGGUGGCCAAGGCUAAAGAGUACUCAUAAUUGACAUAAAGUGGAGUGACUAUGUUAUGUAAAGGUAAAACUGUAUAAAGGGAGAGUGCUGAGACUGAAAAUAUCACUUGUUCCAUGGAAUUGCUCGGCUUCUGUUACUUUUGUAAUAAAGUCUAAUUGAAUUUA
This is a long non-coding RNA of Salmo salar (Atlantic salmon), 1155 nucleotides long. RefSeq lists it as uncharacterized. Lineage: Eukaryota; Metazoa; Chordata; Actinopteri; Salmoniformes; Salmonidae. The record is from RefSeq and is a predicted model, not a curated record.